UGAGGAAUAUUGCGCAAUGGCCGCAAGGCUGACGCAGCGACGCCGCGUGAAGGAUGAAGUCCGUUAGGAUGUAAACUUCUUUUGCAGGGGAUGAAAUCCCCGGUCUACGGGGUGUGACCGUACCCUGCGAAUAAGGAUCGGCCAACUACGUGCCAGCAGCCGCGGUAAUACGUAGGAUCCGAGCGUUGUCCGGAAUUACUGGGUGUAAAGGGCGUGUAGGUGGAUCUCCAAGUCGGUGGUGAAAUCCUGCAGCUUAACUGUAGAACUGCUUCCGAUACUGGAGAUCUUGAGUGCGGCAGAGGGAGAUGGAAUUCAUGGUGUAGCGGUGAAAUGUGUAGAUAUCAUGAAGAACACCGGUAGCGAAGGCGGUCUCCUGGUCCGCAACUGACACUGAGGCGCG
This 400-nucleotide ribosomal RNA is filed under the name uncultured bacterium. Its description in RNAcentral is "bacterial SSU rRNA". It matches the Rfam family "Bacterial small subunit ribosomal RNA", at positions 355 to 755 of the family's 1533-position model. The record is from RNAcentral.